Molecule: long non-coding RNA, 291 nt
Filed under: Elaeis guineensis (African oil palm)
Lineage: Eukaryota; Viridiplantae; Streptophyta; Magnoliopsida; Arecales; Arecaceae
Description: long non-coding RNA (EGUI_LNC042964)
Source: RNAcentral
GAGCUUGUUCGGUUUGAGCUUGCUGGACCUACUCAUGCACAAACAUAGAAAAUUGAGGUGUGGUUGGGCACUCACUAACAAAAUGGGUCGGGCUUGCAUACAAUGUACAAACAUCUUGGACUGGGUUAGGUGGAAUCAGAGAGUGUCCAAUAUUUAGAAGACAGUCUAAUUUUUGGGACAACUCAUCUACCUUACUGUGGAUAUUCAUAACAUUUUCAAUCUGAUAGAUUCCACCUCUUUUCUAUUGAGAUAUAGGUUGUUCUCUAAAAGUGGCAGACAUGUGAUGCAGGG